This 417-nucleotide ribosomal RNA is filed under the name uncultured bacterium. RNAcentral describes it as "bacterial SSU rRNA". It matches the Rfam family "Bacterial small subunit ribosomal RNA", at positions 356 to 773 of the family's 1533-position model. The record is from RNAcentral.
GGGGAAUAUUGCGCAAUGGUCGAAAGACUGACGCAGCGACGCCGCGUGGAGGAUGACGCCCUUCGGGGUGUAAACUCCUGUUGCUCGGGACGAACCGUGGAAUUCAUUCCACCUGACGGUACCGAGUGAGGAAGCACCGGCUAACUCUGUGCCAGCAGCCGCGGUAAUACAGAGGGUGCGAGCGUUGCCCGGAAUCACUGGGCGUAAAGGGCGCGUAGGCGGCUUGGCAAGCGUGCGGUGAGAGCUCAGGGCUCAACCCCGAGUCUGCCGUGCGAACUGCCGAGCUUGAGCACAGUAGAGGCAGAUGGAAUUCCGGGUGUAGCGGUGGAAUGCGUAGAGAUCCGGAAGAACACCGGUGGCGAAGGCGGUCUGCUGGGCUGUGUCUGACGCUGAGGCGCGACAGCGUGGGGAGCAAAC